CCGGCUGUGAGGCAAAGAGAAAGAACUCUCUGGAAUUCACAACAUUCCCCCUCCAAUUAAUCCCCAGCCGCCCCGCUGCGUGUGAAUGGGUUGUGCUGGGGAUUCGUAGCUCUGAUGCCGGGGGAUUUGCUGAUUCCUUUGAGCCCCCUGAGGAGAGGUGAUAUGGAGAGCAGAUAAUGAGCAUGCAGCGCUGAGGCGAGGGACCAGAAAAGGCUUUGGAGUUCCUAACUGGUUUGGGACCAGAGACGGGGAGCACUUAACCAGAGCUCCACUCAGAAGACACCUGGAAUGGGGCUCAUCCCAGACUCAGCCAGGAGGGACAGACCUUAACCUUGGCUGGGACCCAGAAGGCAGAGGAUAGAAAAGAAAAAGGAAGUAAAGAGGAAAUAGAGAAAGCAAACUCUAUGUGGACUGAAAUACAACCUGCUGGGAAGACUGGAAAACGGUUUAGAGUCCUCUGGAUGCCAGAUGUGUUCGUGACCCAGCUACAAGGAAACUGGAUUCUUUCUGGUCACGUUGGAUAUCUGCAUGCGCUUCUAAGUGUUGUAUUGCAUAAAGGAUCCAGCUCCCUGACCAGGGAUUGAACUUGGGGCCCCUGCGUUGGAAGCAUCGAGUCCCAGCCUCUGGACAACCAGGGAAGUCCCUACAGCUCCAUUUUCAAUCAAGAACACUGAGGCUCAGUGGAAAACAAUGUGUGGGCUUGUUGCUAAAGAAGAGGAGCAGUGAUGUUGAGGAAUGCUUACUCAUCUCUGCAACCUAAAGACUCCUCACAAUUCAUCUAGAUGAUGAUGCACUUGUAUGAGAGGUGGUAGCCGGAGUGGAAAUGGGUUCCUGAAGGGAUUUUCUGGGUAACUGUGAGGACAAUGCUGGUGUGAUUGGACUUUUGCUAUGGUUUCUGACAUGUAGUCAGUUUCCUGUUGGAACAAUAAAUAUUCUUGCCCAAUGAACCUAA
This is a long non-coding RNA of Bos taurus (domestic cattle), 952 nucleotides long. Lineage: Eukaryota; Metazoa; Chordata; Mammalia; Artiodactyla; Bovidae. The record is from Ensembl.